GCUAGCGUAGCUUAAACAUAAAGCAUAACACUGAAGCUGUUAAAAUAGGUACUGAUACACCUCGCAAGCA
Molecule: transfer RNA, 70 nt
Filed under: Synbranchus marmoratus (marbled swamp eel)
Lineage: Eukaryota; Metazoa; Chordata; Actinopteri; Synbranchiformes; Synbranchidae
Description: tRNA-Phe
Rfam family: tRNA
About the family: Transfer RNA (tRNA) molecules are approximately 80 nucleotides in length. Their secondary structure includes four short double-helical elements and three loops (D, anti-codon, and T loops).
Source: RNAcentral